Molecule: ribosomal RNA, 684 nt
Filed under: Bacillus zhangzhouensis
Lineage: Bacteria; Bacillati; Bacillota; Bacilli; Caryophanales; Bacillaceae
Description: bacterial SSU rRNA
Rfam family: Bacterial small subunit ribosomal RNA
Source: RNAcentral
GGAGCUUGCUCCCGGAUGUUAGCGGCGGACGGGUGAGUAACACGUGGGUAACCUGCCUGUAAGACUGGGAUAACUCCGGGAAACCGGAGCUAAUACCGGAUAGUUCCUUGAACCGCAUGGUUCAAGGAUGAAAGACGGUUUCGGCUGUCACUUACAGAUGGACCCGCGGCGCAUUAGCUAGUUGGUGGGGUAAUGGCUCACCAAGGCGACGAUGCGUAGCCCACCUGAGAGGGUGAUCGGCCACACUGGGACUGAGACACGGCCCAGACUCCUACGGGAGGCAGCAGUAGGGAAUCUUCCGCAAUGGACGAAAGUCUGACGGAGCAACGCCGCGUGAGUGAUGAAGGUUUUCGGAUCGUAAAGCUCUGUUGUUAGGGAAGAACAAGUGCGAGAGUAACUGCUCGCACCUUGACGGUACCUAACCAGAAAGCCACGGCUAACUACGUGCCAGCAGCCGCGGUAAUACGUAGGUGGCAAGCGUUGUCCGGAAUUAUUGGGCGUAAAGGGCUCGCAGGCGGUUUCUUAAGUCUGAUGUGAAAGCCCCCGGCUCAACCGGGGAGGGUCAUUGGAAACUGGGAAACUUGAGUGCAGAAGAGGAGAGUGGAAUUCCACGUGUAGCGGUGAAAUGCGUAGAGAUGUGGAGGAACACCAGUGGCGAAGGCGACUCUCUGGUCUGUAACUGAC